Molecule: ribosomal RNA, 561 nt
Filed under: Triticum aestivum (bread wheat)
Lineage: Eukaryota; Viridiplantae; Streptophyta; Magnoliopsida; Poales; Poaceae
Description: partial small subunit ribosomal RNA
Source: RNAcentral
GUGACUGGUAUUGAUCUAUCCGGCAAUUCUCUCUCCGGUGAAAUCCCUUCAGAGUUGACAAAUCUUCGAGGGAUCCAGUUACUAAAUAUGUCAAGAAAUAAUCUGUCUGGUAGUAUCCCAAAGGACAUUGGCAAUCUGAAGUUGUUAGAAUCCCUUGACCUCUCGUGGAAUAAACUGUCUGGUCCUAUUCCUCCUAGCAUGUCAAACUUGAAGUUCCUGAGCUCUCUUAACCUCUCAAACAACCGUCUAUCAGGUGAGAUACCUACAGGAAGUCAGCUCCAAACACUCGAUGACCCGUCAAUUUAUAGCGAUAAUCUGGGGCUAUGUGGUCCCCCAUUGAACUUUGCCUGUACAAACAGUUCAGCACCCGCGGAUGGGGCAAAGGAACAUCACCAUGAACUUGAUACACUGUGGUUGUACUACUCAGUGAUUGCUGGAACUGUCUUCGGUUUCUGGGUAUGGUUUGGAGCACUGUUUUUCUGCAAGAUCUGGAGGUUUGCUUUCUUCAGUUGCAUAGAUGCAGUGCACCAAAAGUUCAUACUCAAGAUGAAGUGCACCUGA